UCUCCGUGAUGAAGAGACACAGAUGACGAGUCCGAUCUAAUCCAUUCCAUUAAACCAACUCUUUGAUAGUGUUCGGGGC
Molecule: small nucleolar RNA, 79 nt
Organism: Phragmites australis (common reed)
Lineage: Eukaryota; Viridiplantae; Streptophyta; Magnoliopsida; Poales; Poaceae
Source: RefSeq, a predicted model, not a curated record